UUGACGCUGGCGGCAGGCCUAACACAUGCAAGUCGAACNGUGCANNCNANCNGCUUGCUNNUUCGCUGACGAGUGGCGGACGGGUGAGUAAUGUCUGGGAAACUGCCUGAUGGAGGGGGAUAACUACUGGAAACGGUAGCUAAUACCGCAUAACGUCGCAAGACCAAAGAGGGGGACCUUCGGGCCUCUUGCCAUCGGAUGUGCCCAGAUGGGAUUAGCUUGUUGGUGGGGUAACGGCUCACCNAGGCGACGAUCCCUAGCUGGUCUGAGAGGAUGACCAGCCACACUGGAACUGAGACACGGUCCAGACUCCUACGGGAGGCAGCAGUGGGGAAUAUUGCACAAUGGGCGCAAGCCUGAUGCAGCCAUGCCGCGUGUAUGAAGAAGGCCUUCGGGUUGUAAAGUACUUUCAGCGGGGAGGAAGGGAGUAAAGUUAAUACCUUUGCUCAUUGACGUUACCCGCAGAAGAAGCACCGGCUAACUCCGUGCCAGCAGCCGCGGUAAUACGGAGGGUGCAAGCGUUAAUCGGAAUUACUGGGCGUAAAGCGCACGCAGGCGGUUUGUUAAGUCAGAUGUGAAAUCCCCGGGCUCAACCUGGGAACUGCAUCUGAUACUGGCAAGCUUGAGUCUCGUANAGGGGGGUAGAAUUCCAGGUGUAGCGGUGAAAUGCGUANAGAUCUGGAGGAAUACCGGUGGCGAAGGCGGCCCCCUGGACNAAAACUGACGCUCAGGUGCGAAAGCGUGGGGAGCAAACAGGAUUANAUACCCUGGUAGUCCCGCCGUAACGAUGUCCACUNGNAGNUGUGCCCUUGAGGCGUGGCUUCGGANCUAACCCNUUANUCCACNCCCUGGGGAAUCCGCCCCAGGUUAAACUCAAUGAUUGACGGGGNCCCCCAAACNGGNGAACAGUGGUUUANUNUAUGCACNGAAAACNUUCUGGGNUNA
This 945-nucleotide ribosomal RNA is filed under the name Shigella boydii. Its description in RNAcentral is "partial 16S ribosomal RNA". It matches the Rfam family "Bacterial small subunit ribosomal RNA", at positions 30 to 983 of the family's 1533-position model. Lineage: Bacteria; Pseudomonadati; Pseudomonadota; Gammaproteobacteria; Enterobacterales; Enterobacteriaceae. The record is from RNAcentral.